GACGAACGCUGGCGGCGUGCUUAACACAUGCAAGUCGAACGAUGAAGCGGUGCUUGCACCGUGGAUUAGUGGCGAACGGGUGAGUAAUACGUGAGUGACCUACCUUUGACUCUGGGAUAAGCCUGGGAAACUGGGUCUAAUACCGGAUACGACCAAUCUCUGCAUGGGGUGUUGGUGGAAAGCGUUAUGGAGUGGUUUUAGAUGGGCUCACGGCCUAUCAGCUUGUUGGUGAGGUAAUGGCUUACCAAGGCGACGACGGGUAGCCGGCCUGAGAGGGUGACCGGCCACACUGGGACUGAGACACGGCCCAGACUCCUACGGGAGGCAGCAGUGGGGAAUAUUGCACAAUGGGCGCAAGCCUGAUGCAGCGACGCCGCGUGAGGGAUGACGGCCUUCGGGUUGUAAACCUCUGUUAGCAGCGAAGAACCGAAAGUGACGGUAGGUGCAGAGAAAGCGCCGGCUAACUACGUG
This 471-nucleotide ribosomal RNA is filed under the name uncultured bacterium. RNAcentral describes it as "partial 16S ribosomal RNA". It matches the Rfam family "Bacterial small subunit ribosomal RNA", at positions 28 to 507 of the family's 1533-position model. The record is from RNAcentral.